AAAAAUAUAGCUUAAGAGAAAGCGUCUCACUUACAUUGAGUUUAAUUAUCGUGCAAAUCGGUUUAUUUUUA
Molecule: transfer RNA, 71 nt
Filed under: Domecia hispida
Lineage: Eukaryota; Metazoa; Arthropoda; Malacostraca; Decapoda; Domeciidae
Description: tRNA-Val
Source: RNAcentral